UUGUUUGGGGAGAAAAAUUGAGAGAAAAUCAAUAGAAACAUUUGUCUUCCAAAGAAUUUAUUCUUGCAAAUUUCUUCCUUUGUGUAGGUUGAAGACUUGUUGUCACCUAAGCCCGAAGAGGAGGCAUGAAGGCAUCUGGUAGACACCUAUACACGAGAAGGGGGGUUUAGAAGGAUUCAGAAGUUAGAAGAGGUGGUGUGAGUGACAAAGAAGAACCUGCAGCUUUUGGAGGCACCAAUAGAAACAGCGGUAGAGCCAAGGUCUACAAAUUCUUUCCAACACCACCCAAAGUCACAGCAGCAAUAAAGAUCGAGGAAACACAGCCAAUGGAGCUUCUGAUUAUAAUGCAGAGGAAUUUUCGGAAGAGAAAUAGUGUGUUACCUGUCUCCACAAUCAAAUUGAUGGGAUGACAAAUGGAAACCAUGAGGAUUUUUCACCAAGCAGCGAUUGGGAUCGAGAUUGCAGAAGACAAUAGUUUCAGUUUCACGGCAAAAUGGUGGUGGUCAAAUAGUAGUGCAUCAGAGCCUUAAGCAGAUAAGCUAUAAAACUUACUAGAAGUAUCUAUAUAAUGAAAUAAUCUAGAGACAGAGAAAAGUCUAGACACAGAAAGAGGUACCUUAGCAUUUGAGACAGGAAAGGACAGCGGAUAAGGCACGCUUCUUAGAAGAACCUCAAGGUUGGAGCAGCAUUGUCGGUAAGUUAGCUGCAGCAAGAUAUGGUGGUGCACUCUGAAGCACACUGUGAAGAAUAUGAGAGAGAGAGAGAGAGAGAGAGAGAGAGAGAGAGAGAGAGAGAUUGAUCUUCUUGCUCUUAGCUCAGUAGUUUAUUAUAAAAAUGAUACGAGGAUAGCCACUACAUGCAUCAAUUGAUCUGUACUCAUUUCACAAACAAUUCAGUGGAAGCAUCCCCCAUACAUUAACAAAA
This is a long non-coding RNA of Malania oleifera, 924 nucleotides long. RefSeq lists it as uncharacterized. NCBI's taxonomy places the organism in Eukaryota, Viridiplantae, Streptophyta, Magnoliopsida, Santalales, Ximeniaceae. The transcript is spliced from 2 exons. The record is from RefSeq and is a predicted model, not a curated record.